This 536-nucleotide long non-coding RNA is filed under the name Capra hircus (goat). Its description in RNAcentral is "lncRNA (ENSCHIG00000002576.1)". Lineage: Eukaryota; Metazoa; Chordata; Mammalia; Artiodactyla; Bovidae. The record is from RNAcentral.
CUGGUCACUUGCUAACAGCUGUGUGCCUGUCAUGCUCCCGUUAUGAUUUUAUCAGGGGAAAGUUCAAAUGAGUCAAGACUAACAAAAGAUAGUACUACAUUGUUAUGGAAAUUGCUCUGGAUUGGGGCUAGGUUCCUUUUAUGGAAGGUGAAAGAAGCUAUGCUCCUUAACAGGCAUGAUCAAUAAGGAACUUCCCAAAGUGGCGUGAACUCACAUGCUGGGAAACUCAACAAAGUGAUCAUUAUGGAGACAUCUUUUAAAUUAAAUAUUUGAAAGAGCAAUUUACAUGCCAUUCCAUCACUAUCCUAAGUUACUUUGAGAGAAGGAAAUAGAGGUAUACUCAUGAUCAAAAUAACAUCCUAUUAUUUUCAGUAGUGAAAUCUGGAAACAUAGAUUGUUUACUACAUGGGAAUCAACUGUGGUCUGAUAGAAUUCUAGUUCUUUACUAGCGAUGUAACCAGUGAAUCACUAGGUGGCAUCUAGGUUUUAGAGUCUAUUCAGAAUAGAAAAGCUAUAUAGAGGCGUAUAGAAAAGGC